GCUCAGUGGAGGAUGAGUGGGAGCUGAGAGAAAGGAGGCAAAGACUAGUCAAGGUGGGGUCCAGUGAAAUUGAAAGGGUCCUAAGAAGAGGAAGAAGGCAGAAGGGAGGUUGGAUACACCAUGGGAAGGAGUUGACCUGCAGCUGGCUUGGAGACAGAGGAAGGGCCACAAUCCAAGGAAUGUAGUGGCCUCUAGAAGUUUUGCAAAGCCAGCGAGAUUUACAGCCAGCGAGAAAACAGGAGCUUCAGUCCUACAACUGCAAAGAACUGAAUUCCACUGAUGACACAACUGGACGGGCAAUAGACUCCCCACCUCGUCUCCAGGAAAGAACUCAGCCCUAAUAAUGCCUUGGUGUUUGCCAUUGAGAUCCAUGCUGGACUUCUGGCCUCCAAACCAAAAGAGAAGACAUUUGUGUUGCUUUAAGCCACUAAGGUUGUGGAAUUUGUUGUGGAAGCAAGAGGAAACUGCUGUGCUCUCCUUCA
Suricata suricatta (meerkat) is the source of this 482-nucleotide long non-coding RNA. RefSeq lists it as uncharacterized. The record is from RefSeq and is a predicted model, not a curated record. The transcript is spliced from 2 exons. NCBI's taxonomy places the organism in Eukaryota, Metazoa, Chordata, Mammalia, Carnivora, Herpestidae.